This is an RNA transcript of Balaenoptera ricei (Rice's whale), 3064 nucleotides long. It is a transcript of the gene named shieldin complex subunit 1, with no coding region annotated. Lineage: Eukaryota; Metazoa; Chordata; Mammalia; Artiodactyla; Balaenopteridae. The transcript is spliced from 4 exons. The record is from RefSeq and is a predicted model, not a curated record.
UGAAACUUCGGGCUUGGUUGGCUAAUAUAGCAAUGUGCAAAGACAGGAUGUUCUUGCUUCUUUGGGAAUCUUGAUCACCUCACUCCUUCCAGAAGCAAUCAGCUGAUGUCUUGGCUCACUGUCUGCCUGAGCGAAUGUCCACAACAGCAUGUGACUGGGUGUCCUCAAAUGAGAGGGGUCUCGCCAGGACUAUGGCAACUCAGGAAGCCACUCCAGGAAGCCAAUCAGAGGAGAGCAAUGCUUUGGACCUGCCAUCAGCUUGUGACGUAAGGGAUUACGUGUUGCAGAGACCCAGCCAGGAGGCCAACAGUGAGGCUUUUAGUUCUGAGGAAGCCCUUUCUAUUCCUUGCUCUUCUGAUACGGAUCCAGGCAGACCUCUGAGGAAUCAUUCAUUGUCUCCGGGAGAAAAACAUCUUAUCUAAGCAAAACUGUUGGGAGAGACUUCAAAGGACAGCCUCCCUGGUGGAACCAGGACAAAGAGCUGUUUCCUGGAGGCCUUUUUGUCUGAGUCCCUUUCUGAUCUCCAUCCAAAUGCAUUUAGAGGCAGGGAGCACUUGAUUCAAUAAGGAGAGGGUAGAAUUGUUUUUUUGUUUUGUUCUUUUAAAACUUCAGAAAUAGCCACGUGGGCCUGUUGUGUGUCAUAGGGACCUUAGUGUUCCUCUUAUGAAGUAUACUCUGGAUUUAGGUAACAACUUUUCUGUAAGUUUCCCUGACCGAAUUGCCAAAAAGUCUGUUUUUUAAGUUUAAUGAUAAUUCUUUGACAUAGUUAGUGACCAUCUCUGGUUGUAAAGCCAAUCUCCUCCCUGUUUAUUGCCUAAUCCAGGCCUGUAGGUCCACAUAUUCAAGGCUUUGCCACUUACUGGUUGUGUGACUCAGGUCAUACUUCUUAACGCCUCUGAGUUCCAGAAUCAUCUAUCUACAAAAUGGGGAUCAAAAUGCUUGCUUCAUGGAGUAGGUUUAACUCAGGGAACAGUGCAGGGACACAUCAUAGUGUUUGCCAUACAUUGGCGCUCAGUCAAUUGCUAUUACAGUAUUCUGGUGCUAUUAUUAUUGUUGUUGUUGUUAAUAUUAAGAAACCCAAAUAUAUAUUUUUAAAGAGCACGCAGGUACUAAGAAAACGUGGGCCUUAAUGAAGAUGAAUUCAACAUUGGCAUUACCUCUUCUGGAAAGUCCUUGUGAGCCUCUUUCUGCUAACUCUGAAUAUCUUCACACCAGUCUCAGCACCGUCUCAGGCCACCAGGACUCUGGUUCAUUGACCAGCAUUGUGUCCGCUGCCCACUGAGCUCCCCUUUCAGCCUCUCAUCUUCCCAUCACUGAAGAAGCUCUACCUACCUGUAGACCUAUCGGAAAGAAGGCAUUGCCUUUUCAGAUAAAUUUCUCACACCAGGCAGGUUCCAACUUCUUAUGUUAAAACUGAAGGAAGAAAAUGAAGUCAUGGUUUUUUAACUUUGCUGGAAUGGAUGGAACUCUCAAUAACUCUUUCUGUCCAGAAAAGAUUUUCUCAUCUGGACCCGGAACUCUUCUUAUUCUUGGCUCUUUGCCCUUUGAAGCUGUAAAUCAUGCUCUUUGUUUGCUGAGUGGCUGCUGUUUCCCAACCCGCCAGCUCCCUGGAGUUUUUGAUGGAGCUAGGUCUUGCUAACAUGCUCAAAGUUACAAAAACCCAUCUUACUGGCACAUAACUUGCAAGGAUAAGUGUUUUUUAAUUCAUUCCUGGGAGCCUGGUGCUUCCCUGUGUGGGUUCUUGUUUUGCUCUCUGCCUGGUCUAAGAACAGUGCCUGUUGCAGACAUUGUCCAGACCUGAACCCUGGCCUGUAAGGAAUAAGGGUACAGUGCCUGUCACAUAGUAGGUGCUCAGCGGAGGGUGGUUGAAUAAAUGAACAACACACUUAAGUGAAAUUUGACAAGAUUUUAAAAUAGAUAUCAAGUAUCACGGUACCUUGUUCACCAGUUUAUAACUUUACCAUCAAAUUUAAGCUGUGAUUGAGCUUAUGUGUACUAUAGGACAAAAAAGAUUCUAAGUUAAAUAGUACAUAUGGGACUUCCCUGGUGGCGUAGUGGUUAAGAACCUGCCUGCCAAUGCAGGGGACACGGGUUUGAGCCCUGGUCUGGGAAGAUCCCAUAUGCCGCGGAGCAACUAAGCCCAUGCACCACAACUACUGAGCCUGUGCUCUAGAGCCCACGAGCCACAACAACUGAGCCCGUGAGCCACAGCUACUGAAGCCCGCGCACCUAGAGUCCAUGCUCCGCAACAAGAGAAGCCACCACAAUGAGAAGCCCGGCACCGCAAAGAAGAGUAGCUCCCGCUCGCCGCAGCUAGAGAAAGCCCAUGCACAGCAACGAAGAUCCAACGCAGCCAAAAAUAAGUAAAAAGAAAAUAGCAUGUACUCUCACAUAAGCCCUGCAGAUUUGCUCAACUCUCAUAUGAAAAGUGUUCAGACUAGCCCAGACUGGUCUCUCUCUAAAGCCCCCAGCUUUUUUUCUUUGAAGGACUUCCCUGGUGGCGCAGUGGUUAAGAAUCCGCCUGCCAAUGCAGGGGACACGGGUUGGAUCCCUGGCCCGGGAAGAUCCCACAUGCUGCGGAGCAACUAAGCCCGUGCACCACAACUGCUGAGCCUGCGUGCCACAACUAUUGAAGCCCGCACGCCUAAAGCCUGAGCUCCGCAACAAGAGAAACCACCGCAAUGAGAAGCCCACGCACCGCAACGAAGAGUAGCCCCCACUCAAUGCAACUAGAGAAAGCCCGCAUGCAGCAACGAAGACCCAACACAACCAAAUAAAUAAAAAAUUUUUUAAAAAGUCAAGAAAACAGCCAAGAAAUGAAUAUAUGUGAGGAGCUAUAAUGCUACUGAGAGUAGAAAAUUAUCACUACAUUUCCCCAUCAUGAAGAAAGUAUGUUGUUUCCUUCAUUUUUUUUUUUUCAGCAAAAAAAUCUCUCUAAUUGUAGUACAUGAGAUUACAGUUAUAAGGAUACCCCUAAAGACUGUCUUUUAAAGCUAUUUUCUUAAGAAAACUGUAUUCUUAUAUUUUAUAGUAUUGUGAGUUUUUUCCUGCUUACAAAAUAAUA